UUCCAGAGAGGAAAUUGGUUUUUUACAAGAGGGGAUAAAAAAAGAGAGCAACUCGUUGCUCUCGAUUUUUUGAACUUCCAUCCUGGACCUCAG
Molecule: ribosomal RNA, 93 nt
Filed under: Lubomirskia baikalensis
Lineage: Eukaryota; Metazoa; Porifera; Demospongiae; Spongillida; Lubomirskiidae
Description: partial 28S ribosomal RNA
Source: RNAcentral